UCACAUUCCGAUUGAAUAUUAUCUUAAAUACAAGACAUGUAAAUUGCAUACAAUCGUACAAACACCUGACUCGCGGAUUUUACCAUAUGUAUCGUUCUUUUCCGUCAGAAUGUCUAACAUAAAUAUAAUUAUACAGGGAAUAAACGGGGACUUACGAAUUAUAUCAAUCAGUAAGGAAGCCAGUAUACAAAAACUUAAGAAACGUGUGAAGGAAGCAUUCAAUUUACCAGUAGACGAUGAUAUAAGAAUACUUUACAUCACUCGAAACCUUUACGAAGUGGAUUCACACGGACGUGAACAGUUUUUAAAAGAUUACCAAAUUGGGGAUAUGGCCUUAGUUUUUAUAUUUCCGCGAAUUCCGUGAUAACACCGGUAAAGAGCCUUCGCCUCGCACUAAAUUCUUGCCCGAAAACCAGUAGAUAAAGUAAAAAUAAAAAGUGUUGAAAAUA
Molecule: long non-coding RNA, 449 nt
Organism: Dreissena polymorpha
Lineage: Eukaryota; Metazoa; Mollusca; Bivalvia; Myida; Dreissenidae
Exons: 3
Source: RefSeq, a predicted model, not a curated record